Molecule: long non-coding RNA, 3475 nt
Filed under: Oncorhynchus kisutch (coho salmon)
Lineage: Eukaryota; Metazoa; Chordata; Actinopteri; Salmoniformes; Salmonidae
Description: lncRNA (ENSOKIG00005025907.1)
Source: RNAcentral
GAUCACACAUGCCUCAGCACGCAUAGGUUACUUUGCCUGCUUGCAAAUGUGUGCUAAAAGUGGGGAUGCUUCAUAGUAUUUCUGAUUAUCUUAACUCACCACCAUCAAUUAAUUUUAUUUUUCACAGAUAUCCAUGGAACCACGACUGCAAUAUAGGCCUACACUCAGAUAAAAAGCCGGAUUUGUCGUCCACCCAACCUGUCCUUCCUGUGUGCGACCGAUGUUUGGUUGCGCUGAGAUUUGAGGCACUGUGUGCCUGGAGGCUCACUGGAUGGCACUGGAUCUCUUAGCGCAGUUCACCCUGCCACAUCGGCCAAACAUGCAUCACAUUUUUUAAGGGAUGUCUUACACAAUAAAACUAAACUUAUUAAAAAUAUAUAUAUUUUCGAUUUACAACAUUUUAAUUUGUGCCUAUAUGCAACAUUUUUGCUCUCAUUUCAGAUGUUAGUGGCAAGAAGCUGCUGCUCUGGCACUGGUGAUGGAUGAUAAUGGCAGUCUGGUGCUUGCAUGGAUCACCUUUUCAUCCCACUGGACAAUUGCACAUCUCCAUAUACAUGUCCACUAUGUAGAUCUGGCCAGGUGAGGACGAGCGCUUCACUUCAAAGUGCAUGUCAUUGAUCUGUGAAUAGACCACCCAUACAUAAAAUGUAUGCACGCAUGUCUAAGCCGCUUUGGCUUCAUAGUAAGCUGACAGACGAGUGGUCAAGAAGUCAAAGAGCUGGGGGACGUUAUAAGCAUUUGUUCCAGGCAGAAUUUUAUCCUUUUAGAUCCUCUUGGCCGAUUCUGCAAAGUUGUUAGUGCCAUUUCCUCUCACUGGCAUGGUUUUUCAGUAGCACAGGGCACAAUAUUCUCUGCGGUAGUAGAGCUUUUCCAGGUCGUUCUUGAGGUGCUGAUACCUGCAAAGUUGAACACAAGAUUAAAUUAAAGGAUAAUUUGAUGUAUAAAAUGAAUACAUAAUGAAUUAUUAUUAUUAUUAUUAUAAUAUACACAUACCAAGAUAAUGCCCAAACCCCUGUCAGGAAAUGAACCAAAAUUAAAUGAAUUGUAUUUGCAUUCAAACAUCUUUUGUAACCCAUAAGGCAUAUGCUAAACUGAAGUACUGUGCACGUGUGGUCCAAUGAGUAAAAAACAGUAGUACAACCUUUCCUGUGGCAGUCCUCAUGAGAGCCAGUUUCAUCAUAGCGCUUGAUGGUUUUUUCGACUGCACAUGAAGAAACUUUCAAAGUUCUUGAAAUGUUCUAGAUUGACUGUGCUUCAUGCCUUAAAGUAAUGAUGGACUGUCGUUUCUCUUUGCUUAUUUGAGCUGUUCUUGCCAUAAUAUGGACUUGGUCUUUUACCAAAUAGGGAUAUCUUCUGUAUACCACUCCUACCUUGUCACAACACAACUGAUUGGCUCAAACACAUUAAGAAGGAAAGAAAUUCCACAAAUGAACUUUUAACCAAGGCACACCUGUUAAUUGAAAUACAUUCCAGGUGACUACCUCAAAGCUGGUUGAGAGAAUGCCAAGUGUGCAAAGCUGUCAUCAAUGCAAAGGGUGGCUACUUUGAAGAAUUUCAAAUAUAAAAUAUAUUUUGAUUUGUUUAACACUUUUUUGGCUACUACACGAAUCCAUGUGUUAUUUCAUUGCUUUGAUGUAUUCACGAUUUUUCUACAAUGUAGGAAAUAGUAAAAAUAAAGAAAAACUCUUGAAUGAGUAGGUGUGUGCAAACGUUUGACUGGCACUGUAUAUCUGAGGAUACAUCAUCAAUUAUUACCUUUUCUUGAUCCUAUCUGAGUUCGCCAUCUUCAACAGCUGCCCGGGAUACAAUCUGGCGUAACUGUCGCAGUUUUGCUCUUUUAUUUCGCUUCACCUUAGUCAAAACAAAGCGCUCGAGGUAAAAUAUGGCUCGGCACCGUAGUCAAAACCGCUCACAAGACUCGAACCUAACGACCAGCAGCCAAUUGCAACACUUCAGCGGAGGCGUGUCUUGUCCAGAAGACGAGUGUGAAAUCAAAUAUCGCCAUCUUGUGUCCAUCAUUGGACAGUGUUUGCUGGUUUCCACUAGUUACCACAGCCACAAAGUAUGAGUGUAUGAUUUAUUUUUUGGAGGUCUUAAUUUAAGUUUAGGGUUAGGCAUAAGUAUAGCAGUGUGGUUAAUGUUAGGUUUAAAAUCAGACAUUAAUAAGAUAAUUUGAAAUAGACAGGGUUUAUGACUUUGUGACUGUUGUAACUAGUGGUGACCGCGUUUACAGGCGUUGUGCCAAAAAUCUCCCCCCGACAGAAUUCCCCCCUUCGCUUGAACGCGCACGCAAUCAAAUCUUCACUGCUGCGAUUUGCUUGCUAGUUGAGAUUUCUGAUCACGUUAGGCUGCGUUUCAUUUUUUUGUCUUUUUUCGGUUUGAUCGUGGGGGAAACACUAAUAUCUGUAGUUUUCCCAUGUCCUAUUCAUCUAGUAGUUGUUCUGAAAUGUUUAUUGCUUGCCUACAUUUGACUCCCUCUAUGUUUAAUAUAACACACAUACAUUAAUGAUUAAUUUCGGUUGCCUAUCCUGAAGUGAAGUUUGUUCUAUAGAACGUAUUAAGGUAUUAAAGAAAUUAGAAGGGGGGGGGGGGGGGGGGGGGGGAUUUCGGCAGGCAAAAAAAUGGCCUUGCCGAAAUCCCCCACCCCCCUUCUUUCUAAUUUCCUUAAUUCUGUGGCUAAAGUCAAAUACUUUCUGUGGCACACAUCAGAGUCAAAUACUUUCUAUAGAACAAACUUCAACAUUAAUAAUUAAUCUGUGUGUUACAUUAAACAUAGAGAAGGGAGUCAAAUUUAGGCAAGCAAUAAACAUUUCAGAAUAAUUACUAGUCUAAUAAGACAUGGGAGAGAUGACGAAUUUGGGCAAAUAUAUUUAUUUAUAGACUAAUACACAAAUAGCCAAACCGAAAACUGCAGACAUUACUAGUGCCUCCCCUGCACCAAACCGACAUAGAACAAAUUAAAUGCAGUCUAACGUGAUCAGAAAUCUCAACUAGCAAGUAAGUCGCAGCAAUGAAGUAUUGAGUGCGUGCGCGUUCACGCGAAGGGAGGGGGGAGAUUUUCGCCACAACACCGGAAACCUCACAAGUCGCAGGCAGGUUUGACGGCAACGCAAGUCACAGGUGACAACGCCACGCGGCUGAGACAGACCUUUAUGGGCAUUCAUUUGUUUAUUGUUUUUUUCAAAUGAGUUUUUAAGGGAACCUGGUGAUAGGACAGGCUCAUUUGUACAUAGGCCUUUGUGUGCUGUCUCUCUUGAAAGUGUUCCUACAUAGACUUUUACAACAAGAAGUUGAAUGCCCCGGACGGACGGCUUUCUGCAUUGUUCGCAUAGGAAUCGAAAGUUAAAUGACGCUGUCACGAAAUACAUAAGGUAGGUGGUGAUAAUGAAACGAACCUGACAGAGCAACACAAGAAGCCCACACCUAAUCAGACGUGUGUUGCUGGUAACGACUGAAUGAAAACAACAAUUUCACU